This 496-nucleotide ribosomal RNA is filed under the name uncultured bacterium. RNAcentral describes it as "partial 16S ribosomal RNA". It matches the Rfam family "Bacterial small subunit ribosomal RNA", at positions 28 to 506 of the family's 1533-position model. The record is from RNAcentral.
GAUGAACGCUGGCGGCGUGCCUAAUACAUGCAAGUCGAGCGAACGGACGAGAAGCUUGCUUCUCUGAUGCUAGCGGCGGACGGGUGAGUAACACGUGGAUAACCUACCUAUAAGACUGGGAUAACUUCGGGAAACCGGAGCUAAUACCGGAUGAUAUUUUGAACCGCAUGGUUCAAAAGUGAAAGACGGUCUUGCUGUCACUUAUAGAUGGAUCCGCGCUGCAUUAGCUAGUUGGUAAGGUAACGGCUUACCAAGGCAACGAUGCAUAGCCGACCUGAGAGGGGGAGCGGCCCAACUGGAACUGGAAAACGGUCCAGCCCCCCACGGGGGGGAGCAGGAGGGAAUCUUCCGGAAUGGGGGAAAGCCUGACGGGGCAACGCCGGGGGAGGGAAGAAGGGUUUCGGAUCGUAAAACUUUUUUAUUAGGGAAGAACAAAUGUGUAAGUAACGGUGAACCUCUUGGCGGUACCUAAUCAGAAAGCCACGGCUAACUACGU